This 497-nucleotide ribosomal RNA is filed under the name uncultured bacterium. RNAcentral describes it as "partial 16S ribosomal RNA". It matches the Rfam family "Bacterial small subunit ribosomal RNA", at positions 28 to 507 of the family's 1533-position model. The record is from RNAcentral.
GAUGAACGCUGGCGGCGUGCCUAAUACAUGCAAGUCGAGCGAACGGACGAUAAGCUUUCUUCUUUGAUGUUAGCGGCGGACGGGUGAGUAACACGUGGAUAACAUACCUAUAUGACUGGGAUAAUUACGGGAAACCGGAUCUAAUACUGGAUAAUAUUUUGAACCGCAUGGUUCAAAAGUGAUAGACGGUCUUGCUGUCACUUAUAGAUGGAUCCGUGUUGCAUUAGCUAGUUGGUAAGGUAACGGCUCACCAAGGCAACGAUGCAUAGCCGACCUGAGAGGAUGAUCGGCCACACUGGAACUGAGACACGGUCCAGACUCCUACGGGAGGCAGCAGUAGGGAAUAUUCGGCAAUGGGCGAAAGCCUGACGGAGCAACGCCGCGUGAGUGAUGAAGGUCUUCGGAUCGUAAAGCCCUUUUAUUAGGGAAGAAAAUCUGUGGAAGUAAAUGUGCACAUCUUGACGGUACCUAAUCAGAAAGCAACGGCUAACUACGUG